GGGAAACCCUGACGCAGCAACGCCGCGUGAGUGAAGAAGGCCNUUGGGUCGUAAAGCUCUGUCAACUGGGAAGAAGUUAUUUUUUAUUAAUANUUUGUUGUAUUGACGGUACCAGUAGAGGAAGCACCGGCUAACUCCGUGCCAGCAGCCGCGGUAACACGGGGGGUGCAAGCGUUAUUCGGAAUUAUUGGGCGUAAAGGGCGCGUAGGCGGUUUUGUCGGUCAGAUGUGAAAGCCCGGGGCUCAACCCUGGAAGUGCAUUUGAAACAGCCAGACUUGAGUACGGGAGNGGAAAGCGGAAUUCCUGGUGUAGAGGUGAAAUUCGUAGAUAUCAGGAGGAACACCGAUGGCGAAGGCAGCUUUCUGGACCGAUANUGACGCUGAGGCGCGAAGGCGUGGGUAGCGAACAGGAUUAGAUACCCUGGUAGUCCACGCAGUAAACGAUGUUCACUAGGUGUAGCGGNUAUU
RNAcentral lists this ribosomal RNA (467 nucleotides) under uncultured bacterium. Its description in RNAcentral is "bacterial SSU rRNA". It matches the Rfam family "Bacterial small subunit ribosomal RNA", at positions 375 to 833 of the family's 1533-position model. The record is from RNAcentral.